Long non-coding RNA from Magnolia sinica, 1472 nucleotides. RefSeq lists it as uncharacterized. NCBI's taxonomy places the organism in Eukaryota, Viridiplantae, Streptophyta, Magnoliopsida, Magnoliales, Magnoliaceae. The record is from RefSeq and is a predicted model, not a curated record. The transcript has 8 exons.
UCACUCUCUCUCUCUCUCUCUCUCCGUUUCCCGAUCCUCUCUCCCCCUCCCGAUCUCUGCUCCAUCUCUCUCAUUCUCCUCCCUCUCUCUCCAACGCAACCCUGCCGUCUCUUCUAUCUCUCUCCAUUGCAGCAGCCCGGAAGCUCUUACCCGAAGAAGCACACGCCGUGAAGUUCCUCUCCAUAGGAUCCUAUAAGAAGUGCAGUAAUAGAUUCUUGCAUACGUGUCACAGACAAUGGGAGAGAGAGCAUUAACAGGAAGUUCUUUUUUCAGCUUACCUUGUGCCAAUUUAUGGUUCCUAUUUAUAACUAUUCGCUGGCAACUUACAGGUAUUCUUCAUUUUUACACUAUAUAAUGCUUCUAAUCAUGAUGACCGACUUAAGGUGUGGAGAUUUCUUAUGAAAGUAAAGCCGACAUUUUUCUUAAUUGCUAUAUAGAUGAAUGCUUUAAGCGAUAGCAAUCAUGAGUGUGCAAGUAUAGUUCCAGUGGGAUCUUGCAAUCAAGAUCUAGAGAAGUAAGCAAGUGUUAUGCAGCUUGGUAUGCUCACGUUCCUGGGUUGAAAGUUCUGACUCCAUACUCAUCAGAAGACGCUCGGGGCCUUUUAAAAGCUGCUAUUAGAGAUCCUGAUCCUGUAGUUUUUCUUGAAAACAAGUUGCUAUAUGGAGAGUCUUUCCCUGUUUCAGCGGAAGUUCUUGAUUCCAGUUUCUGCCUUCCAAUAGGAAAAGCUAAGGGACUGGAUUUCAAUCCAAGGGUGUUUGGCCACUUCAGCAUGAGAAUCAAGAUGGUCUCAGAAGAUUCAGCUGGAACAGUAACUGCAUUAACAUGGUGAUUACGCUAUAGUACCUGGCACCAGAAAUCGUCCUUGGAUCCUGACAUUACUCUACUCCUAUUGAUGUGUGAACAUAAAAGCAGGUGGAAGAGGAAGAAAAGUCAUAAACAUCAUCGCCAUCUUAGCCUUUUCUCCUAGCGAUUUCAGGGUGCCUUUUGAAUUGUAGAUUGGCAAGAGUUCUACAAACGGCUCUACCCACCAAACAUUACUCUCCAUCACUAAUAGAUCAUCACAUGUCAUCUGCAAAUUUAAUGUUUUUCUUCAAGUUCCUCAUCUCAUGCCCUCCAUUAACAGAUAGAACGAGAAGGAAAAGAUGCGACCAUUACAGCUUUCUCAACAAUGGUGGGUUAUGCCCUCUAGGUGCGUGUGCUCUUUCUUUUAAGCUGUGGUGCCAAUGACCAAUAUGUGAUUAAUAGGUUUAUUCACAAGCUAAAGAUGUUGAACUAUUUAGAAAUGUGAAUGUAGGAUGCAUUGUAUGAUUUGAUUGCUCCAAAAAGAGUGCAAUACAAGCAGGUAUCAUUUUCUUUCCUGAUUGCAUUUUAUGUACUAUUCCUAGCAGCAUUAAUUGUAUUAGUUUAGAUGAGUUGAUCAAUCACAGCAAGUUCUUGCAAUGGUAACAGACAUCAUUGUUAUAAUUUUUUUU